Halobacteroidaceae bacterium is the source of this 84-nucleotide non-coding RNA. NCBI's taxonomy places the organism in Bacteria, Bacillati, Bacillota, Clostridia, Halanaerobiales, Halobacteroidaceae. The record is from Rfam.
CCUCGAUAAUGGCACAUUCAUUGAAAGAUAAAGUCGCAAAGGUUUGAAUCUAAGGUAUAAAGCUAUGAUUGUCAAACUACCGAA